Oreochromis aureus is the source of this 451-nucleotide long non-coding RNA. Lineage: Eukaryota; Metazoa; Chordata; Actinopteri; Cichliformes; Cichlidae. The record is from Ensembl.
CACAGCUACAUUGUCGCCUGAAAAUAUCUUAAAAGGUUAUUUUGUGACCCAGAAAGGGUAGUCUGGGGAAAAGGAGGAUCGCAUUUGUCGGCCACGGUUGUCGGAGCCUGCUCGGGACCAGCACUCCUGUUGUUGGACACAAAGACAUCAACUCAGUGACUUGAGAUAUGACUGCACUAUGCUGUUGCUGGUGACCACAGUUAAUUCUACAAGACAUGCUGUGACAACAGGAGAGAUGAGUCCUCCGUCACAGAUGGUGUGGCCAGUGAAGAUGGUCGCCUGCAGGUUCAAGCUCAUUGCAUCUCCAACCCACAUCCACUGCCACUGUACUUAAGGGAAGUUAAAGACUUUCUUCUGCACUUACAUUUGGAUCACCUCGAUCCAUGACAGUCAUUCAGGCAGUAAUGCCUGGACUGGAAACAAGCAUCCUUAAAAUAAUACAACAUUCCAG